Molecule: non-coding RNA, 1082 nt
Organism: Ciona intestinalis (vase tunicate)
Lineage: Eukaryota; Metazoa; Chordata; Ascidiacea; Phlebobranchia; Cionidae
Source: RefSeq, a predicted model, not a curated record
UUUAAUCUAGAAUUGUAGUCAAAACACAAUUUUAAAGCAUCAUUGGAGAAGGUAAAAGAAGGAUUACAACCAUAUUUUUUAACAGAUUUUUUUUAAUGCUUCUAAUGUGUACAAUUUUUGACAAGUGCGUAUUAUUGUAAUAAUAUUACUUCAGCAGGUGACAAGUACAAAAUUGAUUUAAAACUUCUUAGAUUUCACUGUAUAAUUAUUUGUUUAAAACUUAAGGAUUAAGAGGGUCUAAGUGAGGUCUAAGUAACCUUUUUUUUGGCCAGCCAACACUGGCUAAAGGAAUAUCGGAUAAGUGCCCUAUAUCAAUUAAAUGGUUUUGACGAAACAGUUAAGUGGAAAGAAUAUGUAACAAGUAAUAUAACCCAGCAUGGUUGCAACUAAACUUGUCUUCUCUGUUUUGUCUACCCUGUUUUUUUACUUUCAAUUGGUGUCAAUGGAUUGUCCCAUUUUCCGCUAAAAAGAUACACUAUUGCUAGUGGUAAUAUAUUAAAUACAAAUUUAAGUGUGUAAACUAUUAAGAUUCCACCAAUUCCAGUGUUUAGUUAAUCAACGGGUUGCUGCAGGAAGAUAUGGCGGUGAAAACAUUAGCGCUUCCUAAUCUGUUUUAAAACUCAAACCCCCAACAUUUAAUCGAUAAAUGAGAAGUUGAAGAUAGCCUACCUAAAUUACAGAAGAUCACAAAGGCGGGGAAGACAUGUUUAAUAGCAACUGCAAAGCAUUACAUACACACUUCACAACCACAGAGUUUUAAUGUAUGGUUUCCUUCAGUUGAUAACAAGCAAUACUCUAGUUAACAGAAAUAAUAACAUACCGACGUGAUCAAAUGUGUGGCGUUCUUUAAUUCCACUAUUUUAACGGCCACUGCUUCCGUAUUUUCGUCAUUUACCGCCAAUUUCACUUCUCCAUAUGUUCCUUCGCCCAGCGUUUGAACAAAACUCCAUCCUUUAACAAAAGGAACCGACGGCACUGACAUAACAGUGACAGAAAAAUGUUUUCGAUAUGUUUUUUUUUGCAAAGUCUAUAUAUUUAACACGAUUACGGCUGUUUAUUCCGUUUUAAAGUGAAGGCGAAAA